This is a long non-coding RNA of Xenopus laevis (African clawed frog), 3417 nucleotides long. RefSeq lists it as uncharacterized. Lineage: Eukaryota; Metazoa; Chordata; Amphibia; Anura; Pipidae. The transcript has 2 exons. The record is from RefSeq and is a predicted model, not a curated record.
UAUAUAUAUAUAUAUAUAUAUAUAUAUAUAUAUAUAUAUAUAUAUAUAUAUAUAUAUAUAUAUUUAUUCAUUUACACAAAGUGCCAAUCUAAAUGGAAUUAACCCUAAAAUACAAGCUGGUGAAAAUCAUCUAUUUUUAAUUACUGUGUAUUGCUUAAGGUUUCCUUGCCAUUGUAAACUUCACGGGCAAUUAUUUUGCCAAAGGCAUAAACCUCAAUCAUGACUGCUCAUUCCAUCUGGCAUGCAUAUGUUCUCUAGCGAGUAAUCUUCCUGCCCAAAUGUGUUGCAUGUGUUGCACCUGAAUCAGUAAUAUAAUCAAUACAUAUAUUUUUAGUAAGCUAUUGUGAUCUGCCCUAUUGAGAAUGAGCCUGGUGCCUCUUCAUUACUAUGCAACACAACAAAGGACUGCAAAGCAAAGUCACAUUCAUCUCUCUACAAAGGCCCAACACCAAGCAAUUUGAUAUAUGUAUACCCAAACAUACAAAAUAUCACUUUCUACCCAUGAAAAUGUAGAGUCUGUAAAGGUCACUGAAACAUGCAAUAAAUAAUCAAGCGGGCCCUGGUGUCUCCCAAAUACAAUGUGAUAAACUUAUUUUAUCGAAUAAGACGCUCAUACUUUGUAUAUGUAUAAGCAAUCUCCAUAGCAUUUGUAAACAUGUUAAGAAAUGUAUCGAACCACAAAAAGUAUAUUUUAUGAACCAAGAGAUAAUUAUAUGCCAUUAUCUUAUAAUUCCCUAUCUUGAUAGAGGUACAAGUUCAUUGAAAAGAACUUGCAUGUUAUAGAUGACAUUUAAAAUGAUCAGAAUAUGCGCCUGUUGGUAUAAGGGAAUAUACCUCAAGGGCAGGGGUUUGUUAAAGAGCAGAUCACCCUGUGAAGUGAAAUGACACCCACAUAUACACAAAAUAUGAAACAUGACAUUUAUUAGAAUUUAAGUUUAAAUCCAGUAGGUGGUUUAACAGGUGGAAUGGGUGGUUUAGUAGGUGGUCCAUGCUUUUGCCAAGCUACACACCAGAUUUCACUGAGGAGGCCCCGAUUUGCAUUGGAGAACUGAAACACAUGCUGCCAUUCUUUGCAAUUUUGUGAAUACAUAUUAAUAUAUAUACUUUUGCAUAUAAAGAGCCAUAUUUCCAAACCCAUGUAAGACACAGCGACUUCCAUUGAAGUAUAUGAUCACUUUGUAAAUUCUUCUAUACACAUUCUUAUAAAUAAUACCCCCAGUGCCCCUAACAGUGGAAUGAGAGCAAGAGGGGAAGCUGGCCAUCAGCGCUAAAGCCUACAGAUGUAUUCAUUUCACACCAACAUUUUGACUUUUCAGAAAUGUGAUAUAUGUAGGGUGAUUUUGAGCUUCCAGUUUUGGUUUUAUAACCCCCCUAACCAAUAAUUUUUAAUGAAAUUAAUUUUUUCUUUUUUUAAAGAAAAGUGUAUUCCAGCCCUUGGUGUAUAAAUGAAUACUGUAGCUGCAAAGCAUUUCAUACUCAAAGUGUUUAUCAGGUAAGAGUGAAAUAGUAACAGUGUCAGGCAUUUCCAUUUCAGAUUUCCAUUUUCAGGCACCGGUCACAGGUUCAGGUGGAUCCAGGUAUUGAUGUGUGGGUCGGCCUGAAACCCAUGAGUAUACUUGUAAAUUGGGCGGGGUUGGGCCGACUUCCACACACGUUUUCAGGAUUGGUUCAGGUUGAGCUCUUCCUUCUGCUCUUCCUUCUGCUCUCCCUGCCUGUGACCUUACUCUGCUGGCUUCCGCCUCUGACAGCCUUUAUUUAUAGGCGUGCACAUGCCCUGCCCCCUUUUGUGACAUCAGAGAUGGGCUUGUCACGUUAUAUAAUAGAGCGCGGGGGGGGUCAUUUAUAAACACUGGGCACCUGGGCAGUAACCCAUAGCAUCAAUCAGAUGAUUGCUUUCAGUGUUCAUACUGCGGCUGAUUUAGAAAAGCUAAUCACUGAUUGGUUGCUAUGGGUUACUGCCCAGGUAUACAUUUGCAUUUAUUGCAGUUGGCCGCUGGAUUAGGCAAACUAGUUCAUAAUCACCACAUGCAGACACUCUUUAUUUAAUAUUAAGUGCAAAGUUCGUUUAUUCACCAAGAACAACUAAGCAAACGGUAGCAUUUAUUGAUUUACAGUUAGAAAGCAAAUCUCUUAAUUCCUGUGGGUUUCUGCAGCUGGGCAAACAUUGCGCCUCUUAUUACAUACACACAUAUGGGGUUAGUCACACUCUGGAUUGCCUCUUUACUAUUUGUUAAUCUUCAAUCAUUUUAGAGGAAUAUUGUUAACUGACCUUCAUAACCUGCAGUGAUUAUUUUCUGGCUAUAGCUACAUGAGGGUAGCUGUACUUGUAUAUGGGGAUCCUGUAGUGCUGAGAACUCAACAGCUUAUAGAAGAAAAGGUGCAAAGUUUUCUCUGAUAACCAUGGCAGCCUACCAGAGCUUGUAUUAUUAAACAAAUAAUAGUUAUAUGCUACAUUCUGAUUGGUUGAUGGGGUUUAUAUCGCUUUAUUUCAUUAUAUGACACUGACUUGUUUCGUAGGUUAGCACAAACCAAAAUAGUGGCUUCUUGCAUUUUCUUUCUUUUAAAGGGGUGGUUCACCUUUAAUUUAAGGGUGGCUUGAACCCUAGCAACCAGAUUGCCGGAUAAAAAGCUAAUUAACUGAAAAACCACAAAUAAUAAAAAAAUUAAGACCAAUUGCAAAUCGUCUCAGAAUAUCAGUCUCUACAGCAUACGGAAAGUUAUUUUAAAGGUGAGCAACCCCUUUAAACACUGUCAACUUGGACUAAAAAUCAAUUUGCGUUAAUUACACCAAUUGCAUUAUGCACACCCUCUCCCUUUUAGGGACGGACUACAUGGAUAUCUUCAGCGCGAUCCAACGCGAAGCAACAAAACUCCUGCAAUAAGGUAAGAGAUAGAAAUGUCUGAUGAAUGGAGCGUUGAUCCGACGCGACACACGUGCAGCGUCUGCUCGUGUCUGAUCAGCGCUGCGACUUCACCUGACAUUUCUAUCUCUUACCUUAUUUUUGUCGCAUGCGUUUUGUCGCAGCGCGUUGGAUCCAUGUAGUCCUACCCUUACUCACUGUGAUUCUGCCUUCUCAUUUGCUUCUGACUGCCUUUCAUCUAAAUAUAAGUCUCUUCCUAGUGACAAAUGAACUGGAUUAUUUACUCGUUUGAUUUCAAUAGGGAAUGUCGUGCUCACAGCCCAGCAAUUUAUCAGCACUGAUUUGUCCUGAUUACUUUAAUGAUGUAUGUUUGGGGUUGUUGUAUUUUUUUUUGUACACACAGUAAAGUUGAACUUUGUAUUUACAGUACUGACAGCUUUAACUGUUUUCAUGUCAUUGCCUGAACUUUAUUGCCUUAGACUGGUCUGUUACGGGAAUAUAAAUGCAGAGCUUUUUAUAACAAUGCUUCUUUUAAAAUAAAAGUCAAAUACCACUA